AGUGAACGCUGGCGGUAGGCCUAACACAUGCAAGUCGAACGGCAGCACAGGAGAGCUUGCUCUCUGGGUGGCGAGUGGCGGACGGGUGAGGAAUACAUCGGAAUCUACUCUGUCGUGGGGGACAACGUAGGGAAACUUACGCUAAUACCGCCUACGACCUACGGGCGAAAGCAGGGGACCUUCAGGCCUUGCGCGAUUGACUGAGCCGAUGGCGGAUUAGCUAGGUGGCGGGGUAAAGGCCCACCAAGGCGACGAUCCGUAGCUGGUCUGAGAGAAUGAUCAGCAACACUGGAACUGAGACACGGUCCAGACUCCUACGGGAGGCAGCAGUGGGGAAUAUUGGACAAUGGGCGCAAGCCUGAUCCAGCCAUACCGCGUGGGUGAAGAAGGCCUUCGUGUUGUAAAGCCCUUUUGUUGGGAAAGAAAUCCAGCUGGCUAAUACCCGGUUGGGAUGACGGUACCCAAAGAAUAAGCACCGGCUAACUUCGUGCCAGCAGCCGCCGCAG
RNAcentral lists this ribosomal RNA (506 nucleotides) under uncultured bacterium. Its description in RNAcentral is "partial 16S ribosomal RNA". It matches the Rfam family "Bacterial small subunit ribosomal RNA", at positions 29 to 523 of the family's 1533-position model. The record is from RNAcentral.